UGCGAGUGGAAAUUGAGCUCUCAGAUUAUUCUCUUCCAUGGCGUUCUCUAUGCAACUUUAUCGUCUCCCCACUCGUACAGAUGCGGCCUCGCCGGAGAAUUUCGCCGGCGUUCGAUCAGUCCGGUACAGAAAGCCUAUGUCCGUGAGAUGCGACGGCGAUUCUUCUUCUUCUUCUUCGGCGGCUGUCGAUUCCAAUUUUGACGCCAAGGUGUUCCGGAGGAACUUGACGAAGAGCGAGAAUUACAACCGCAGAGGCUUUGGUUACAAAGACGAGACUCUGGCGCUCAUGAAUCGCGAGUAUACGAGUGAUAUCAUAAAGACUCUGAAAGAAAAUGGAUUUGAGUAUACGUGGGGAGAUGUUACUGUAAAACUGGCGGAAGCAUAUGGAUUUUGUUGGGGAGUUGAGCGAGCCGUCCAGAUUGCUUAUGAAGCGAGAAAACAAUAUCCUGAUGAGAAAAUAUGGUUAACCAAUGAAAUUAUUCACAACCCAACUGUUAACAAGCGCUUGGAGGAGAUGGAAGUCCAAAACAUUCCACUUGAGGAAGGAAGGAAACAGUUUGAAGUGGUUGAGAAGGGUGAUGUUGUGAUUUUGCCUGCCUUUGGGGCUGCGGUGGAUGAGAUGUUGACAUUGAGUGAAAAAAAGGUGCAAAUCGUUGAUACAACUUGCCCAUGGGUUUCGAAGGUUUGGAAUGUUGUGGACAAGCACAAGAAAGGCGAUUAUGCUUCAAUCAUUCAUGGUAAAUAUGCUCAUGAAGAAACCGUAGCAACAGCGUCCUUUGCAGGAAAAUAUAUAAUUGUAAAGAACAUGGCAGAGGCAACAUAUGUGUGUGACUAUAUUCUUGGAGGUGAACUUGAUGGAUCCAGUUCAACCAAAGAAGAGUUUAUGAAGAAAUUCAAAAAUGCAGUCUCAGAAGGUUUUGACCCAGAUAUUGACCUAUUAAAGGUUGGGAUUGCAAACCAAACAACAAUGCUCAAGGGAGAAACAGAAGAGAUUGGUAAAUUAGUUGAAAGAACCAUGAUGCGCAAGCACGGAGUGGAAAAUGUCAAUGAGCACUUCCUCAGUUUCAAUACAAUAUGCGAUGCUACUCAAGAGCGUCAAGAUGCAAUGUACAAGCUGGUAGAGGGAAAACUGGAUCUCAUGUUAGUUGUUGGUGGAUGGAAUUCCAGUAAUACUUCUCAUCUUCAAGAGAUAGCGGAGGAGCGAGGAAUUCCGUCUUACUGGAUUGAUAGUGAGCAGAGAAUAGGUCCAGGAAACAGAAUAGCUUACAAACUGAAUCAUGGGGAGUUAGUUGAAAAGGAGAACUGGCUACCCAAGGGUCCUAUCACGAUCGGUGUCACAUCCGGGGCCUCAACCCCCGAUAAGGUCGUCGAAGAUGCUCUUAUCAAAGUCUUUGACAUUAAGCGCGAAGAAGCUUUACAGUUUGCAUAAAUUUAUAGGUUAGUAGUUCAAAGAGUUGUAUGAUUGUGAAUGUGCAACUGAAAUGUGGUACCCUCCCUUUCAAUCAUAUAGCCUCUUGUAUCGAAAGAGUAAUGUUGUGCAGUAGUAAAGAUUCUAGUCCUCUACAGAAAUGUAUCACAUAGUUUGAGUGGUUCAACGAGUAUGUCGACCUUCAGUGCCGAUGAAUCGUAUCUGUAAUUUUACUGUUCGGACUCUGAAGUGCACAUGUUCACACUCAAGUUACAGAGAAAAUGUUCGAUUGAAACAGAAAGAGUUGAUCAUCUCUUUUGUUUUUAUUGUGUGGCUUCACUAAUGGGAUCCAUAUGGUUUGGG
RNAcentral lists this unclassified non-coding RNA (1771 nucleotides) under Hevea brasiliensis (rubber tree). The record is from RNAcentral. Lineage: Eukaryota; Viridiplantae; Streptophyta; Magnoliopsida; Malpighiales; Euphorbiaceae.